Molecule: ribosomal RNA, 252 nt
Filed under: uncultured soil bacterium
Lineage: Bacteria
Description: partial 16S ribosomal RNA
Rfam family: Bacterial small subunit ribosomal RNA
Source: RNAcentral
AGGACGAACGCUGGCGGCGUGCUUAACACAUGCAAGUCACGGGGGCCCGCAAGGGCAACCGGCGAACGGGUGCGUAACACGUGAGCAACCUGCCUUUGUGCGGGGGAUAGCCGGGCUAACGCCUGGGUAAUACCGCAUACGGUUCUCGAGGGGGGUCCCUUGGGAAAGAAACCUCCGGGGCACAGAGAGGGGCUCGCGGCCUAUCAGCUAGUUGGUGUGGGUAACGGCCCACCAAGGCGACGACGGGUAGCU